UACGUAGGGUGCGAGCGUUAAUCGGAAUUACUGGGCGUAAAGCGUGCGCAGGCGGUUUUGUAAGACAGGCGUGAAAUCCCCGGGCUCAACCUGGGAAUUGCGCUUGUGACUGCAAAGCUGGAGUGCGGCAGAGGGGGAUGGAAUUCCGCGUGUAGCAGUGAAAUGCGUGGAUAUGCGGAGGAACACCGAUGGCGAAGGCAAUCCCCUGGGCCUGCACUGACGCUCAUGCACGAAAGCGUGGGGAGCAAACAGG
Molecule: ribosomal RNA, 253 nt
Filed under: uncultured bacterium
Lineage: Bacteria
Description: partial 16S ribosomal RNA
Rfam family: Bacterial small subunit ribosomal RNA
Source: RNAcentral